ACUCCUACGGGAGGCAGCAGUGGGAAUGAUUGCACAAUGGGCGGAAGCCUGAUGCAGCAACGCCGCGUGCGGGAUGACGGGCCUUCGGGUUGUGAAACCGCUUUCGCCUGUGACGAAGCGUGAGUGACGGUAAUGGGUAAAGAAGCACCGGCUAACUACGUGCCAGCAGCCGCGGUGAUACGUAGGGUGCGAGCGUUGUCCAAUAUU
RNAcentral lists this ribosomal RNA (207 nucleotides) under uncultured bacterium. Its description in RNAcentral is "partial 16S ribosomal RNA". It matches the Rfam family "Bacterial small subunit ribosomal RNA", at positions 335 to 552 of the family's 1533-position model. The record is from RNAcentral.